CCGGAGGAAAACAAGCAGUCAUCUGUAAUCAUAUGGCUAAUGAGGGAUAUUGAUUAAUGAGGCAGAGGGAGGCAGGGCCAGGCACAGCCCGAACGGGGCAGAAAGGGGCUGAGCACAGACCCUUAGGGGUGUUUGGUGAGGUGGGAGACUGCAAUGUGAGACAAGGGGAGAGGACAUUCCAGGAGAUACUGCCAGCCCCUGUAUUUGAGGAAUCAAGCUGAGAAGGCAGUGAGAAGGAGGGUUAGGAUCUGAAGCUUCUUAACCCUAUGGGAAGACAACCGUGCAGCUUGAUGGUGUGCUGAUAGUUGUGGUGGGCUCGAUCCAUUGUGAACCCGGACUGACACCCAGCAGCAUGUGGGUGAGGAACAGAUAAAAAGCAGUGUGCCUCCUGGCCCUCCUCUUUCUCUUUCCCCUCAUUAUAAAUUUUUAAGGUUGAUUUGGCCUGUUAUUCAGCCACAACUUCCCCUGGAGAAGCUUCCUACAGCCACCUUGCGGCAGGAGCCAUCCUGCUCUCCUUUGAUGUGUCGGUCUGCUCCCCGGAGCUGAGUCUUCCUGGUGCUCUCUGGUCUGGAGAGCUCAAUUCACCACCAGCUUCAUGCACCCUGCUUUUCCCCUCAGUCACAGUGCUCUUGUUCCCACUAAAAUCAAUGGCAUGGCAACUGUGUGAGCGAGGGGAGAAUUUGAUAUUACAAGGAAUAACAAAUCACAGGCAUAUCAAGUGUGCCCUGAUAUCCAAGGGCACUGAGCGGCAAGGACCAAGGAGAUCCCUUGCUCACUCUCUCUCCCUCUGCCUGUCUCUGAGGAUCAGUAUUCUCCUUCCAGAGACCUGUAGGGGUCACAGUUGGAUUGUACAACAGGCUGUGAGCAUGUCCUUGGGAAAGGAAACCAUUUCUGCUGAAGUAUCGACCAGAAAGCCAGUAGGAGGCCAAGUGCCCUCUGCCCACAGGCCACUGCCUCAAACCCCUCUCAGAAGUGGGCUCCAACCCGUCCUCUGCCUCUUUCUGCCACUAAGGCCCAGAUGUCUCCCAUGGGAUGUAUUUCUUAGCUUCAACAUAGUGAAACCAAACGUGUUCCAGGCUGGAAAGAGCCACUCUCAAGUCCACGCACAGGAGGGUGUGAGGAACCAAUACUUUACUGGGACAGUUCUAUAAUGGAGAGGGAAGAGGAGAGGUGAUGCUUUAGAUAACAUGAUUUAUACCUGCACAGUGCUAUCAAGGGAAGGGAGAGGGACCUAAUUAGUAACUUGGAACCUAAUUAAAGAGGCUCAAGUGAAGACUUCUGUCUGUGUCCAGGUUUCUUGUUCGUGUGAGUAUUGGUGGACCAUCAAGGUUGGUGCGAAGCGGCUUUGCUUCCUGUUUGUCUAACCUGAUCUUACUUAAAACCAGGUAGUAUAAACCUCAAAAAUCAAAAUCCAGGUGGUGGAAUUUGAAGAACUUCAGGAUAUGGGCAGACCUCCACUGAAGUGAAAUGGAUGUGGCAGCUCUUGAAACCCUGACCUGGUUUCCUCUGGGAUCAUUACUUGUCUCUGCAGUUCCCUCAUGGGGCUGUGCACAUCCAUCUUAUCCUCCAAAUUCAGAACCUCCCAUAACAGAGAAGUCACAGGACAUGUGCAAGACCAGGCAGCAGUGUGCUAGAGGUAUGGCCUGUGCCUGGACAGAUUCCUAAUCCCCACGUGAAAGCAGGUGCCUCAGCAGGGGUUUUCUGGCAUGAUUGCACCAGUCUGGUCCUUCUUCCUUCCACUGGGUAGCAGAAAGUCUUCUUCAGGUGAGCCUGACCCAGUCUCCAUCAUAAGGAGCAGCCCAGAAACAGCAUCACUUGUCUUCAUUCUCCAAGGUCCUUGUGGACACACACCCACAAGAACUCUCCAGUCACUGUUAGAGAUCCCUUCCCAUGCCUGCACUGCACCACAAAUUAGGAUCUGGCCAUGACGCUCACAAGGAUGGACCCGUUCCACUGUGCAAUAAUUAAAUUGCCUGUAAUUAUGUUCUUGACAAGUGAAAUACAGGCAGUAAAUGAUCCUAACAUUCUUUGCUCCCUCCUUCUUCCCAAGACUCCCCCAGCUGCCCCUCCCCUCUAAAUGCUGAAUUAUUUUACAGUUGAUAGUUCCUUAGAUUUGCCGACCUUUAAAAGCUGAACACUACAUGCCUGUUGAAUUUUAAUCAAUUUAUUUUUUUCAACUGGAAAUGUCAGACUUCUGUACGGAAUUACUUGGUGCUGGCUGAUGUGACAAAGACUCAAAGUUCAGCAUCUGAAGCCGCGGAGGAGCAGAGAGUUGCGUGCAUUAGCACAGAUAAUUUGCAGGAUGUGAAAAUGAGAGCAGGAGUGAGGGAGCAUAUAUUUUUCAUUAGCUUUGGUUUAGAGGGUUCGGGGACCUGCAUUUAUUUCAUCCAGUGAACUCUGGCCUCAUUAAAUCCAGACCGUGGCUGGUAAUGACUGGAAGUAAGAAGCUGUGGAGGCCACUAAAGGGCAGGAGGCAAAGUGAGUUCUUUGCUGGAGCACGGAGAGAACCUCCGUGUAUGCGGUGACGGGGGGGAGCACCAACCUCUGCUGUGUCUGCUCCAUGGUACCGAGCACAAGAAGGUGCCAGUUGCCCCAGCCAUCCACCAUCCUGCACUGGUGCAGUUCAUUAAGGCACGUUAUACCACCUGCUUCACGCUGCUCCAGAAGACCUGAAGAGCCCAGCAAAACUUCCACUUGCAGUGUAGCUUUCCCAGCCCAACUGAGAGGUUGAUUAAACUUCGCAGUAGCGUUGAGCUUGGCCGGCAUUGCCCAGAAGGAUUAAGCAUUCCCCAACUGGAGCAAAGCCCAUCCAGAAAGAUGGGAAGAGGUUUACUUGCAAACACAGACCUGCAGACUGAUUCCUGCUGGGGAAGCCCGUGGCCGUGAGCACACACCAGGGAGGAACCCUGCUGUCCUUACAGGGAUUUGCUGGCCUUCACUGUGACUUUGGCAUCAUAUUUGUGAGCAGUGGCUACAGCCAGGGCAAUGCUGGGAGCUACCCUGCCUCCUUUCUGAGCAGGAAUUUCUCUGUGGUCAGCGGCUAGGUAGCUCCACAUUAGUCCUGUCCUGCAUCACCUUCCCUACUCUGAGUCGUUUGAAGCAAAAGUUAUCAUCUUCUGUUUUUCUUGUAUCAGCGGCCUCUGGUGUUUCCCUGUAGUGCUGUAGUCUGUUCUAAUCCUGGGCCGUGACAGCCUACAAACAAGUUUCUGUCCUAUUAAAAUUUAAUUCCUUCUUUGGAAUAGAGACUUCUCAUCGCACAGAACCAGAUGGAUAAAUGUUUGCUAAGGUGACAAGG
Long non-coding RNA from Cygnus olor (mute swan), 3295 nucleotides. RefSeq lists it as uncharacterized. NCBI's taxonomy places the organism in Eukaryota, Metazoa, Chordata, Aves, Anseriformes, Anatidae. The transcript is spliced from 3 exons. The record is from RefSeq and is a predicted model, not a curated record.